Molecule: ribosomal RNA, 905 nt
Filed under: uncultured soil bacterium
Lineage: Bacteria
Description: bacterial SSU rRNA
Rfam family: Bacterial small subunit ribosomal RNA
Source: RNAcentral
AGAGUUUGAUCCUGGCUCAGAGCGAACGCUGGCGGCGUGCUUAACACAUGCAAGUCGAGUGCGCGCCUGUAGCAAUACAGGUGGCGCACGGCGCACGGGUGCGUAACACGUGGGUAAUCUGCCCUUCGAUGGGGAAUAACUCCGGGAAACCGAAGCUAAUUCCGCAUAACAUUCCUUGAACUUCGGUUUGGGGAUUCAAAGCCGUAAGGCGUCGGAGGAGGAACCCGCGCACGAUUAGCUAGUUGGUAGGGUAACGGCCUACCAAGGCUUUGAUCGUUAGCUGGUCUGAGAGGAUGGCCAGCCACACUGGAACUGAGACACGGUCCAGACUCCUACGGGAGGCAGCAGUGGGGAAUCUUGCACAAUGGGCGAAAGCCUGAUGCAGCGACGCCGCGUGGGGGAUGAAGCUUUUCGGAGUGUAAACCCCUUUCGACCCGGACGAAUGCCCCGCAAGGGGACUGACGGUACGGGUAUAAGAAGCCCCGGCUAACUGCGUGCCAGCAGCCGCGGUAAGACGUGGGGGGCCAGCGUUGCUCGGAAUUACUGGGUGUAAAGGGUCAGUAGGCGGUGUGGCAAGUCGGGAGUGAAAUCUCUGGGCUCAACUCAGAGACUGCUUCCGAAACUGCCGUGCUAGAGUGUGGGAGAGGCGCGUGGAAUUACAGGUGUAGCGGUGAAAUGCGUAGAUAUCUGCAGGAACACCCGUGGCGAAAGCGGCGCGCUGGACCACAACUGACGCUGAAUGACGAAGCUAGGGGAGCAAACAGGAUUAGAUACCCUGGUAGUCCUAGCCCUAAACGAUCAGACUGGGUGCGCACGUUCGUGCGUCGUCCCGAGCUACGCGUAGUCUGCACUGGGAGUACGUCGCAGACUGAACUCAAGAUGACGGGCCGCCAGCGUGACAUGUG